AUGAACGCUGGCGGCGUGCCUAAUACAUGCAAGUCGAGCGAACGGACGAGAAGCUUGCUUCUCUGAUGUUAGCGGCGGACGGGUGAGUAACACGUGGAUAACCUACCUAUAAGACUGGGAUAACUUCGGGAAACCGGAGCUAAUACCGGAUGAUAUUUUGAACCGCAUGGUUCAAAAGUGAAAGACGGUCUUGCUGUCACUUAUAGAUGGAUCCGCGCUGCAUUAGCUAGUUGGUAAGGUAACGGCUUACCAAGGCAACGAUGCAUAGCCGACCUGAGAGGGUGAUCGGCCACACUGGAACUGAGACACGGUCAAGACUCCUACGGGAGGCAGCAGUAGGGAAUCUUCCGCAAUGGGCGAAAGCCUGACGGAGCAACGCCGCGUGAGUGAUGAAGGUCUUCGGAUCGUAAAACUCUGUUAUUAGGGAAGAACAUAUGUGUAAGUAACUGUGCACAUCUUGACGGUACCUAAUCAGAAAGCCACGGCUAACUACGUG
Molecule: ribosomal RNA, 496 nt
Filed under: uncultured bacterium
Lineage: Bacteria
Description: partial 16S ribosomal RNA
Rfam family: Bacterial small subunit ribosomal RNA
Source: RNAcentral